UGGCGCACGGGUGCGUAACGCGUGGGAACCUGCCCUAAGGUUUGGAAUAACAGUGAGAAAUCGCUGCUAAUACCAAAUAAUGUCUUCGGACCAAAGAUUUAUCGCCUUUGGAUGGGCCCGCGUAGGAUUAGCUAGUUGGUGGGGUAAAGGCUCACCAAGGCGACGAUCCUUAGCUGGUCUUAGAGGAUGAUCAGCCACACUGGGACUGAGACACGGCCCAGACUCCUACGGGAGGCAGCAGUGGGGAAUAUUGGACAAUGGGCGAAAGCCUGAUCCAGCAAUGCCGCGUGAGUGAUGAAGGCCUUAGGGUUGUAAAGCUCUUUUACCAGGGAUGAUAAUGACAGUACCUGGAGAAUAAGCUCCGGCUAACUCCGUGCCAGCAGCCGCGGUAAUACGGAGGGAGCUAGCGUUGUUCGGAAAUACUGGGCGUAAAGCGCACGUAGGCGGCUUUCCAAGUCAGGGGUGAAAUCCCGGGGCUCAACCCCGGAACUGCCCUUGAAACUGGAUCGCUAGAAUAUUGGAGAGGCAAGUGGAAUUCCGAGUGUAGAGGUGAAAUUCGUAGAUAUUCGGAAGAACACCAGUGGCGAAGGCGACUUGCUG
This 600-nucleotide ribosomal RNA is filed under the name Aurantiacibacter zhengii. RNAcentral describes it as "bacterial SSU rRNA". It matches the Rfam family "Bacterial small subunit ribosomal RNA", at positions 96 to 731 of the family's 1533-position model. Lineage: Bacteria; Pseudomonadati; Pseudomonadota; Alphaproteobacteria; Sphingomonadales; Erythrobacteraceae. The record is from RNAcentral.